Molecule: ribosomal RNA, 301 nt
Filed under: uncultured bacterium
Lineage: Bacteria
Description: partial 16S ribosomal RNA
Rfam family: Bacterial small subunit ribosomal RNA
Source: RNAcentral
CAGUCGCCGCGGUAAUACGUAGGGUGCGAGCGCUAAUCGGAAUUACUGGGCGUAAAGCGUGCGCAGGCGGUUGUGUAAGACAGGUGUGAAAUCCCCGGGCUUAACCUGGGAACUGCGCUUGUGACUGCACAGCUAGAGUAUGGCAGAGGGGGGUGGAAUUCCACGUGUAGCAGUGAAAUGCGUAGAGAUGUGGAGGAACACCGAUGGCGAAGGCAGCCCCCUGGGCCAAUACUGACGCUCAUGCACGAAAGCGUGGGGAGCAAACAGGAUUAGAUACCCCUGUAGUCCCUGUCUCUUAUAC